This 568-nucleotide long non-coding RNA is filed under the name Setaria viridis. RNAcentral describes it as "long non-coding RNA (SVIR_LNC009199)". Lineage: Eukaryota; Viridiplantae; Streptophyta; Magnoliopsida; Poales; Poaceae. The record is from RNAcentral.
UUGAUUCGUAGGUGAGGGUGGUCAUGAAAUCAAGAACUCGAUGGUAAUCACAAGAACAUGAAGGAACACGGGGGAUUUAGACAGGUUUGGGCCUCCAAAGAGUAAUACCCUACGUCCUGUAUGCGUGGAUUGUAUUGCUCGGUAUGAGAGUCGAUGUCCUCAGGGGGUGUCCUUGGCCACCUUAUAUAGUCUGACGACCAUGGGUUGCAAGUUGGUUUGAAUCUAAUCUACUCGCUCUUUACAUGGAAAGCAAUCUAAGUUGGGCUACAAUACGCGUCCCACGAAGUCCGGGUAGAUGUGGAUUGUCUAGUUACCUCGACGUGUACUCCAAGUAACUUUGAGUCCUCAGCUCGCACAUCCUGGUCGACUAUGCCCACUUGUUAGGUCCGACAUGCAUCGUAGCCGGUGGGGACCCAUAGGGUACCCAUAUCCCUCACUGAUAACCACCCAUACCUCUACGAUUCGUACGUAGCCAUCGACAAUCAUGAGCAUCUUGUUGAUCUUGUUCAGUAUUAGCAACAUAUAUAUCCCAAUUGUCCUCGACGCGCUCAUCCUUCCUGUUAUCUCC